Amphiprion ocellaris (clown anemonefish) is the source of this 3002-nucleotide long non-coding RNA. RefSeq lists it as uncharacterized. The record is from RefSeq and is a predicted model, not a curated record. NCBI's taxonomy places the organism in Eukaryota, Metazoa, Chordata, Actinopteri, Pomacentridae. The transcript is spliced from 3 exons.
UGCUGCUAACAAAGGAAGCAUGAAGAACAAUAGAGAGAAGUGGCAAAAAAGACAACCAGUAGACUUUUACAAGAACUGUACAGCUUCUGGUCAACUUUGAUCCAGAACUAGCUUGUUUAGUGAACAUUUGCUGGUCCAUGUGGAACUGAAGGAUAUCAGCUGAUCUCAGGAGCAGGACUGGAUAUGCAUCAUACAUCAGACAGCUGCCUGGAGGUGGAGUCUCUGAACUUUUUGAUCGCACCUUGAAGUACAGCAGUCAUCUCAGCUCUUUCCAAGUACAUUCAGUCAUUUAGUAGAGGAGUUUUUUGUCUGGCCGCAGACCAGAUGGUAUGUUUGGAAGACACCAGACACCACAACCCCGCUGUGAGGCAUGGAGGUGGCAGCAUCAUGAUGUGGACAUGCUUCAUGGUGGCACACCAUGGAAGGGGAAAUCCUGGAGGAUAACCUGGUAAACAUCUAAGAACUGUAACUCGAGAAAUGCCCCUGUUCGUAAAAUAACUGAAAUCUUACUUCUCUAUUAAUCUUUAAUUCAUUUUAGUUUUCAGUUCCUUCAUUUUGCCUGUUUUUUUCUUUAUUUGGCAAAGAUUUAGCCAUUUUGUUGACCUGCACAGUUGUAAUAUUCCUCAAUUUCCAUAAAGUAAUGAGAUGAUUCAUUCAUUUAUUCCAUCAUGUAUAUUUGCAUAAUGUCAUUUAGCCACAAGUAACAUUAGCCAACAUUAUGUUAAUUGCUAACUUACUAAUAGACUAAACAACUGCCUGCAUGGCUGCUGUAACUUAAGUUAUGAGAUUAAUUCAAUCAUGGGAUAACCCAGCACUGUAAUAUGUGGUCAAAACACUCAAGCAAGUUAGUAGAAACAUGGCCAAUACCCACAUUAGGUAAUGAUUACAGUUUACCAAAUCUGAUACAGUUCCUUAAGCUGUCUACACAGGUUGCUCUUGUCAAUGGCCGAAUUUUUGUUUGUUUCUUUCUCCUUAGGCUUUUUUAGCGGUUUGCUGAACACUGUCCUGCCACUUUUAUUCACACUAAGCAGCCUAGUUUGUGAGUUAGUUUGAAUGAAACAAAGGUUAUGACAAAGCAAAAGUCAGGGGAUGGAUACAAGAAAAUCUGCAAGUUACUGAAUAUGCCUUGGAGUACAGUUAAAUUCAUCAUUCAGAAAUAGAAGGAACAUCGCACAUGUGCACCCUCAAUAGCUGAGUGACCACAAAAAAGGGACUAGCGAGGGAGGCCACCAAGACACCUAUGACUCCUCUGAAGGAGUUACAGGCUUCAGGGGCUGAGAUGAGAGCGACUGCGGCUACAACAAUAACUGAUGCCUGUUCUUCACUAAUCAAUGCUUUAUGGGAGGGUGGUAAAGAGAAAGACACCAUUAAAUAAUAAUAUUAAAUCUUGACUAGAGUUCACCAGACAGCAUGUGGGAGACUUUGAAGUCAUCUGGAAGAAGGUUCUUUGAUCUAAUGAGGCGGACAUUAAGCUUUUUGGCCUCAGACUAGACACACAUCAUCCCCACUGUGAAGCAUGGUGGUGGCAGCAUCAUGAUGUGGAGAUGCUUUUCUGCUGGAAGCCUUGUAAAGAAUAGGGUAAAAUAAAUGCAAAAGUAUAGGGGAAUCCUGGAGGUCAACCUGAUACAGCCUGCAGAGAACUGCAACUUGGAACAAGAAUUAAAUCAAAUUGACCAUGAUUCAAUGUUCAAAAGCAAUGGAAGCGGAAAACAUCCUACAAGGGUGAAUCCUUUUAUAUAGGCACUGUGUCAUUAGUGUUGUUAUUUAUAGACAUCACGGUCACAGAUGAGAAAAUGUAUUAAAGAUGAAUUCAUGGUGAGUUUACUCAUGUAUAUUUGCAUAAUGUCAUUUAGCCACAAGCAGCGUUAGCUAACAUUAUGUUAUAUGCAGAAUAUAUGCAGAAAUGUUACAUAUUAUACCUUUAAUUGCAUGACUAAUAAGCUUAUCCACAUUUUGCAAGAUCUAAAUUUUAGCUGUGCAGCCAUGACACACAACAUGCAAGUUUUCAACAGUGGAAAGACACAACUGAAGCUGUGGAUCCCUCCUGACCUGUAUUUACCGUCUGUAGUUUAUCCUUCUGUGAUGCUUUAAAAAGCAGCAGGGAAACCCAUCUCUCUCUCCCUCUCUCUGGAUCCGUUUUGACACUGUGUAUAUGUUUUGGGAUUUUAAGCAUGUGCGAUACACGCCCACACAGAUGCACUGACAAACAUACUCACACAAGGAGAAACACACUGAGUGAAAAACACACAUCCAUACACAAACACACCCCCUCUAAUGCAGUGCAGUAAAUACAAUGAUUGUAUUUUGGCUCCAUAUUCUCCAGGGUGGUGACAAGUCUUUUUUCCUCUCACAUGGUAUAAAUGAAAUCCAAUUAUAUCUGUAAUGGCUCUUCAACUCUUCUUCUGCUUUGAAGGAGUCAGCUUGCUUGAGUCACCACUGUUGGACCCGAAUGUGCUCUGUAAGUCAGUGAUGCGCAAAUGUGCAAUGGAGACAGAUGUAGAGUGUGUGUGUGUUCGUGUGUGUUCGUGUGUGUUCGUGUGUGUGUGUGGUCCAAUGCCUCUAUUUUAGGCAACUAACAUUCAGAAGUGACUUAACUCCUGUCAAACUUUGUUACUCCGUUAAGUGUGUCGCAUGUUACGGCAAUGACUGUCUAUUUGCAUAUUUUAAUUAAAUAGCUGGAAUUUAGAAUUAAUCACUUCCUAAAUUUAUGGGGUAAUUAUAUGGUGUUUGUCCUUGACUUGGCAGCAUAACCCACCCAUGAAUAAAUUCAUCACAGUCCUGUGAUGGCAGACAAAGUUACGCUGACACCUGCAAACUUUGUUUCCUCCACUUACCCCUCAAUUACCCUCUUUUAUGUUCUUUUCUGACACAAUAAAUCACAUACUGUCACAUUGUCUCUUUCAUCGAGCCCCUCUGACAAGUUGAUCAUGGAGAUGUGUGGGUGGAAGAACUCGACUGCAGUGCAUGUGUAUGCAUGUAUGUGUAUGUGAAGGGAUUUCUAA